AAGUGCAGCCAGGCCAGCACAGAGUUAACUCCGUUUAUGCUAAUUUAACGGAGGGGACUUGAUUUAUACAAUUUUUACAACUUUAGAACUCAAUAGAUUCAUUUUUAAAACUGGGUACUAAACACAAAUUCACCUCUUAACAUGGGGACAAAGUCAACAUUUAAGCCUAAAAAAUAUAGAAAAGGUUUACAAAGAGUGUAAAAAGGGGGUACAAUAGGUGUAUAAAGAGUGUUCAACGGGUGUACACCCAUUCUACAUCUUUCUGCAAAAUACCUAGUAAGAUUGUGGAAGGGUGUACAAAGGGUAUACAAAGGAUAUAUAAAGGGUUUAGAAAAGGUGUAGAAAGGGUUUGGAAAUGGUGUACAAAGAUGUAGAAAGAUGUAGAAAGGAUGUACAAAGGGUGUAUAAAGGGUGUACAAAGGGUAUACACCCAUUCUACAUCUUUCUACAAAAUAUGUAGAAGAGUUGUAGAAGAGUGUACAAAUAAUAUACAAUGUUUAAAAAAGGGUAUAGAAAUGGUGUAGAAAGGGUGGAGGAAGGGUGUGCGAAGUGUGUACAAAUGGUGUAGAAAGGUUGUAGAAAAGGUGUAUAUAGGUUAUAAAAAUAGUGUAGAAAGUGUGUACAAAGGCUGUAUCAAGGGUGUACAAAGGGUGUACACCUAUUCUACAUCUUGCUACAAAAUAUG
This 685-nucleotide long non-coding RNA is filed under the name Vigna radiata. RNAcentral describes it as "long non-coding RNA (VRAD_LNC017802)". The record is from RNAcentral. Lineage: Eukaryota; Viridiplantae; Streptophyta; Magnoliopsida; Fabales; Fabaceae.